Non-coding RNA from Pelobates cultripes (western spadefoot toad), 1637 nucleotides. The record is from the annotation of a GenBank genome assembly. Lineage: Eukaryota; Metazoa; Chordata; Amphibia; Anura; Pelobatidae.
AAAAAAAUAUAUAUUUAUUUUAUAUGUUGGGCUGUUUAGUUUUAUUUAUCCAGGCAGUGGUGUAUCCUGGUUUUGUGCUGCCCUAGGCAGGACAAAACUCAGGCGCCCCCCCCCCCGCCACCCCACCCAACCCUUCCCCGCCCCACCUUCUAAAUACACACACACACAGUCAGACACAAAACACACACACACAGUCAGACACACACACACACACAGUCAGACACAUACACAGACAAACACAGUCAGACACAAACACACACACACACACAGUCAGACACAAACACACACACACACAGUCAGACACACACACACAGUCAGACACACAGACACAAACACACACACACAGACACACACACUCACAAACACACAAACACAGACACAAACACACACAGUCAGACACAUACAUACACACACACACACACACACAGUCAGACACACACACACACAGUCAGACACAUACACAGACACAAACACAGUCAGACACAAACACACACAUACACAGUCAGACACACACUCACAAACACAGACACAAACACACACAGUCGGACACACACACAGUCAGACACACACACACACACACACACAGACACAGUCAGACACAUACACAGACACACAGUCAGACACAUACACAGACACAUACACAGACACAAACACAGUCAGACACAAACACACACACAGUCACACACACACAGUCAGACACAAACACACACACAGUCACACACACACAGUCAGACACAAACACACACACUCACAAACACACAAACACAGUCAGACACACACACAAAUUAACUUUUUUUUUUUUUAUUUAAAUCCGCCCCCCAACCUCCUUACCUUUGGGAGUGCUGGGGGGGGUCUCUCUCCCUGGUGGUCCAGUGGCUGCAGGUCGGGCGGGCGGCGCUGGCAGGCGGGCGGCUGGCGAGCUCCCUCGCGCGCCGGCUGCAGAGUGAGGCUGGGAGCCGGAAGAUGACGUCAUCUUCCGGCUCCCAGCUUCACUCUGCGGCGCGCGAGGGAGCUGAGCAGAGAGCUCAUAGGAAGUGCUCCCUCGCCAGCCGCCCGCCUGCCAGCGCCGCCCGCCCGCUCGGGAUGUCAGUUAGCCGCAAGGCUAACUAGGCAUUUGCCCUGGGCAUUUGGGGGGCGGCAUUUUUUGCCGCCCCCUGAAAAAUGCCGCCCAAGGCAAAUGCCUUGUUUGCCUCGCGGCUAAUACGCCCCUGUAUCCAGGCCAAUUCAAUCUUUAUCAUGUAGAAGCAUUGGGAACCUAAGGAGCAUGUCAGGAGCAUCGCCUUCUUCUUUGAAUGAUCGUUUAGACCUAUUGGCUAUCUGAUUGACAGCUGGAGGGUGUAACUAAGGACUUUUAUAAAAGUGACAAUUUCUCUUGAAAUCAGCACUUAAGUAAAAUAAAACAUGGGAAAUCUCUAGUUUACCCCUAAAGCACAUGGGCAAACUGAAGUGCUUCAUUGAGCAGGAUGGUUAAUUUAACAAACUUUACAGCCAAUUGCAAACAACCAUAGGCAGACGGUUAACUCAGACCGCCACUUAAAGGACCACUAUAGGCACCCAGACCACUUCAGCUUAAUAAAGUGGUCUGGGUGCCUGGUCCAGCUAGGAUUAACCUUUUUUUUUAUAUAUAAACAUAGCAG